AGAGUUUGAUCCUGGCUCAGGAUGAACGCUGGCGGCGCGCCUAACACAUGCAAGUCGAACGGAGCUGCUUUGAUGAAGUUUUCGGAUGGAUUUAAAACAGCUUAGUGGCGGACGGGUGAGUAACGCGUGGGUAACCUGCCUCACACUGGGGGAUAACAGUUAGAAAUAGCUGCUAAUACCGCAUAAGCGCACGGUUCCGCAUGGAACAGUGUGAAAAACUCCGGUGGUGUGAGAUGGACCCGCGUCUGAUUAGCCAGUUGGCGGGGUAACGGCCCACCAAAGCGACGAUCAGUAGCCGGCCUGAGAGGGUGAACGGCCACAUUGGGACUGAGACACGGCCCAAACUCCUACGGGAGGCAGCAGUGGGGAAUAUUGCACAAUGGGGGAAACCCUGGUGCAGCGACGCCGCGUGAGUGAAGAAGUAUUUCGGUAUGUAAAGCUCUAUCAGCAGGGGAGAAAGUGACGGUACCUGAAUAAGAAGCCCCGGCUAACUACGUGCCAGCAGCCGCGGUAAUACGCAGGGGGCAAGCGUUAUCCGGAUUUACUGGGUGUAAAGGGAGCGUAGACGGCAAGGCAAGUCUGAAGUGAAAGCCCGGUGCUUAACGCCGGGACUGCUUUGGAAACUGUUUGGCUGGAGUGCCGGAGAGGUAAGCGGAAUUCCUAGUGUAGCGGUGAAAUGCGUAGAUAUUAGGAAGAACACCAGUGGCGAAGGCGGCUUACUGGACGGUAACUGACGUUGAGGCUCGAAAGCGUGGGGAGCAAACAGGAUUAAGAUACCCUGGUAGU
Molecule: ribosomal RNA, 786 nt
Filed under: uncultured bacterium
Lineage: Bacteria
Description: bacterial SSU rRNA
Rfam family: Bacterial small subunit ribosomal RNA
Source: RNAcentral